Molecule: long non-coding RNA, 437 nt
Organism: Rhinopithecus roxellana (golden snub-nosed monkey)
Lineage: Eukaryota; Metazoa; Chordata; Mammalia; Primates; Cercopithecidae
Exons: 2
Source: RefSeq, a predicted model, not a curated record
UCUCCCGCCUCCUUUUCCCGCCGACUGAGGGGGCGGGGACAGGGCCGGGAAGGGCACAUGCGCAGUGGCAGCGACUAAGGUUUAGUGAGGCGGCACCGCGCGGCGCUAGGCGGGUCUUGAGGCUCUCGUUUUUCCCGCUCGUUUUCCGGGGAUCCCCCGCGGUGGGACAGUGAGCAGUUCAGGGCGCCGCAGCCGAGGCCUUCCUCCAGAGACAGGGUUUCACCAGGCUGCUCUCGAACUCCUGACCUCAGGUGCUUCACCCACCUUGGCCUCCCAAAGUGCUGGAAUUACAGGCAUGAGCCACCGCACCCUCUGAUUUUUUACAUUUUUUAGCUGGUUGGGAAAAAAAAAAAUACCAAAAGAAGAAUAUCUCUUGAUGUGAAAAUGGUGUGAAAUUUACAUUUCAGUGUCUGUAAAUAAAGUUUCAUUUGAAAACA